Molecule: ribosomal RNA, 133 nt
Filed under: uncultured bacterium
Lineage: Bacteria
Description: partial 16S ribosomal RNA
Source: RNAcentral
AUUCUUACAGUACCGUCAGUUACCCACACGUGGGUAAGUUUCUUCCUGUAUAAAAGCAGUUUACAACCCAUAGGGCAGUCUUCCUGCACGCGGCAUGGCUGGGUCAGAGUUGCCUCCAUUGCCCAAUAUUCCU